UCUGUCCCGGGCUUGGUGGCGUUUUCAAGCAGGCCGCCGCUAAGUCCUCCUCUUCCGCCGCCGGGCUGAAGGUCCCUGUCUCGCCUGGCGGCCGCCUGAAUUUCGCGACAACACCGAACCUUCUUCUAGCGCCCCGAGAAGCAGGGCGAAGAGAAGGCCGCGCUACCCGCGGGGAGAUUUUCCCUCAGGAGGGCCGUCGAGCGGGCCCGAGGAAGGCCGAAGCGGGAGAAAUCGGGGUGGUGGUGGUGGUGAUCCAGGCAGCGUUAUCGGCUGGCGACUGUUGCCUGGUCGCGGGCCGGGAGGUUUCGAUCUGCCUCGGGGCGGCUGGCGCGGGAGGAGCCCGAAGGCGCCUGGAGAGCGCAAGGCAGGCCUGGAAGAGGAGGAGGCGGAGGCUGAAUGCGGCUCCGAGUCGGGCAUCUCGACCCUCGCCCUGAACUCUGAACCUUGGGAGUUGUGGGAUGCAGCCUGUGGGCGGAGGGCAGCGGGGCUUAUAACGCCUUCAAAGUUGACGCAGAGAAACCUCCAGGUACUGCCUAUACAGCUAACAUCAAAAAUAUCAUCAAAAAAGGACAAUAAAGAAUGUUCUUUCUGCGCCAACUCAGUAAGCUCAAACUGCCCAAGGAGCUGCUGAUUCAGUUCUACAGAGGAAUUAUUGAGUCUGUCAUUGGCACCUCUAUAACUGUCUGGUUCGGCUCUUCAACCCAACAAGAAAGACACAAGACUUCAGAGGAUAAUUAGAACUGCAGAAAAAAUAAUUGCUACCAACCUGCCUUCCAUUGAGGACCUGUAUACUGCACGAAUCAAGAAGAGGGCCAUGAAAAUAUUUGCAGAUCCCUCACAUCCUGGACAUAAACUGUUUCAACUCCUACCCUCAAAACGACACUAUAGAGCACUGCACACCAGAACAACUAGACACAAGAACAGUUUUUCCCCGAAGGCCAUCACUCUGCUAAACAAAUAAUUCCCUCAACACUGUCAAACUAUUUACUAAAUCUGCACUACUAUUAAUCUUCUCAUCGUUCCCAUCACCCAGCUCCUUCCACUUAUGACUGUAUGACUGUAACUUUGUUGCUGACAAUCCUUGUGAUUUAUUUUGAUAUAUUGACCAUCAUUUGUAUUGUAAGUGCUGUACCUUGAUGAAGGUAUCUUUUCUUUUAUGUACACUGAGAGCAUAUGCACCAAGACAAAUUCCUUGUGUGUCCAAUCACACUUGGCCAAUAAAAAAAAUUCUAUUCUAUUCUAUUCUAUUUUAUGACUUGCAUUUGGUUUUUCUUGCUUAAGUGUAAGACUUUACUUUUCUAACCACUGUUGGAUAGGGCCCAGUGUUCAAGUUUGUCAAAGUGUUGGCUAUUCCCCACAGCUUGGUGUCAUCUGCAUAUUUGAUGAGUUCCCAUUAUGUUUCCCUCAACUAAGUGUUCUGGGCCUAAGAGAGAACUUUGAGGUGCCUCCUGCAUCAUUCCCUCAAAUGUAAAUGUAAUUCUAUUGAGGAUUACACGCUGAGGGCGGUUGGUCAGCUGGUUAUGAAUCCAUCUGGUGAUGAUGCUAUCUAACCCACAUUUUUUUGCAUCUUACCCAAAAUUUGGCUGUGGUCUACUUUGUCAAAGGCCUCGUAGAAAUCUACGUAAGUUGUGUCUGCAGUAUUUCCCUGAUUCCACUUUGUCAAAGAAUGCGAUAAGAUUCUUUCUUUUGUACAUAAGUGCACAAAAGUGCCUCCCGUUCCUGUCCUAUUGUUUCCUUCCAAUAUAUGUGCUUGUAUAUAAUGUUGUGACAAAAUAAAUAAAUAAAUAAA
Molecule: long non-coding RNA, 1789 nt
Organism: Ahaetulla prasina
Lineage: Eukaryota; Metazoa; Chordata; Lepidosauria; Squamata; Colubridae
Exons: 2
Source: RefSeq, a predicted model, not a curated record